RNAcentral lists this microRNA precursor (101 nucleotides) under Ochotona princeps (American pika). RNAcentral describes it as "miRNA (ENSOPRG00000018291.1)". The record is from RNAcentral. Lineage: Eukaryota; Metazoa; Chordata; Mammalia; Lagomorpha; Ochotonidae.
CACCCCGAAGGAGAAAAUCUCGCUAGGGCCUCCAAAUGUUAUGGGGUGCACAGUAUAUAAGAUCACCAAAGCCAAUUUAGAAUUUGGGGAGUCUUUAUUAG